RNAcentral lists this ribosomal RNA (440 nucleotides) under uncultured bacterium. Its description in RNAcentral is "partial 16S ribosomal RNA". It matches the Rfam family "Bacterial small subunit ribosomal RNA", at positions 338 to 795 of the family's 1533-position model. The record is from RNAcentral.
CCUACGGGUGGCAGCAGUGGGGAAUAUUGCACAAUGGGGGGAACCCUGAUGCAGCGACGCCGCGUGAAGGAAGAAGUAUUUCGGUAUGUAAACCUCUAUCAGCAGGGAAGAAAAUGACGGUACCUGACUAAGAAGCCCCGGCUAACUACGUGCCAGCAGCCGCGGUAAUACGUAGGGGGCAAGCGUUAUCCGGAUUUACUGGGUGUAAAGGGAGCGUAGGCGGUUGAGCAAGUCAGUAGUGAAAGCCCGGGGCCCAACCCCCGGACUGCUUUUGAAACUGUAGAGCUUGAGUGCAGGAGAGGUAAGUGGAAUUCCUAGUGUAGCGGUGAAAUGCGUAGAUAUUAGGAGGAACACCAGUGGCGAAGGCGGCUUACUGGACUGCAAAUGACGCUGAGGCUCGAAAGCGUGGGGAGCAAACAGGAUUAGAUACCCCGGUAGUC